RNAcentral lists this long non-coding RNA (374 nucleotides) under Mustela putorius furo (domestic ferret). RNAcentral describes it as "lncRNA (ENSMPUG00000030134.1)". Lineage: Eukaryota; Metazoa; Chordata; Mammalia; Carnivora; Mustelidae. The record is from RNAcentral.
GGAGUCUGAGUUGCUGAGCAGUGGCAAGGAGUUCCUGCGUUUGGGUCUCCCCCUACGGGCACAUGGCCAGAGUCACAGGAGUGGGCAGCAGAGGCCCAACACCAUUCCAUCAGAUUGAAGCUCUCAGGGAGAUGUCCCCGGGGAGGCCUCACCCCUGCCCCCCUACCCGGAGAUUUCCUGGAGAAGGGACAGUGCCUGCUGGAAUUCUGAUCUGGUUCCUCCCAUAGGAACUGAACCUCUGCCCUUGCUCUGGGCCAGGAUCCAUGAGGUCACUCUGGGCAAGGGGUAGGAGGGUGGGGGAGACUCAUGACCAUUUUCUGUGCCCCGGAUCCUGCCUCAAAACAAUAUUUUCGUAUGCCUAAAAUGAAAUACAC